This 881-nucleotide ribosomal RNA is filed under the name uncultured bacterium. Its description in RNAcentral is "bacterial SSU rRNA". It matches the Rfam family "Bacterial small subunit ribosomal RNA", at positions 27 to 871 of the family's 1533-position model. The record is from RNAcentral.
GAACGAACGCUGGCGGCGUGGCUAAGACAUGCAAGUCGUACGGACCACAGUAGCAAUAUUGUGGUUAGUGGCGGAAGGGUGAGUAAUGCAUGGGUAACGUACCUUGGACUCAGGGAUAACGGCGGGCGCAAGCCCUUUAGCGAAAGUGCCGCUAAUACCUGAUGAAAUCACUGGAGUGCAUGCUUUGGUGAUCAAAGCCGGGGACCCGCAAGGGCCUGGCGGUCUCUGAGCGGCCCAUGUCCUAUCAGCUAGUUGGUGAGGUAACGGCUCACCAAGGCAACGACGGGUAGCCGGACUGAGAGGUCGGCCGGCCACAUCGGGACUGAGACACUGCCCGGACACCUACGGGUGGCUGCAGUAACGAAUAUUGGGCAAUGGGCGCAAGCCUGACCCAGCGACGCCGCGUGCAGGAGGAAGUCCUUCGGGAUGUAAACUGCUGUCAGGGGCUAGCAAGCAAUGCGAUUGAAUACGUCGCAAAGUUGAGCAGCUCCAGAGGAAGCCUCGACUAACUCUGUGCCAGCAGUCGCGGUAAGACAGAGGAGGCAAGCGUUGUUCGGAAUCACUGGGCUUAAAGCGCGUGUAGGCGGCUCGGUAAGUGUCGUGUGAAAUCCCAGGGCUCAACUCUGGAACUGCACGGCAAACUCCCGGGCUUGAGGCCGGUAGAGGUGCCUGGAACUCUCGGUGGAGCGGUGAAAUGCGUAGAUAUCGAGAGGAACGCCGGAAGCGAAAGCGGGGCACUGGGCCGGUUCUGACGCUGAGACGCGAAAGCGUGGGGAGCAAACAGGAUUAGAUACCCUGGUAGUCCACGCCGUAAACGAUGCACACUGGACGUUGGGCCCUCUGACGGGACCGGCGUCGUAGCAAAAGUGCUAAGUGUGCCG